CCUACGGGAGGCAGCAGUGAGGAAUAUUGGUCAAUGGGCGGGAGCCUGAACCAGCCAAGCCGCGUGAGGGAAGAAGGUACAGCGUAUCGUAAACCUCUUUUGUCAGGGAACAAAGGCGGGGACUAGUCCCCGGAUGAGGGUACCUGAAGAAAAAGCAUCGGCUAACUCCGUGCCAGCAGCCGCGGUAAUACGGAGGAUGCGAGCGUUAUCCGGAUUUAUUGGGUUUAAAGGGUGCGCAGGCGGCCUGUUAAGUCAGCGGGAAAAGCCCGGGGCUAAACCCCGGCGAGCCGUUGAAACUGGCGGGCUGGAGUUGGAGAGAGGGACGCGGAAUGCGCGGUGUAGCGGUGAAAUGCUUAGAUAUCGCGCAGAACCCCGAUUGCGAAGGCAGCGUACCGGCUCCACACUGACGCUGAGGCACGAAAGCGUGGGUAUCGAACAGGAUUAGAUACCCCGGUAGUC
Molecule: ribosomal RNA, 459 nt
Filed under: uncultured bacterium
Lineage: Bacteria
Description: partial 16S ribosomal RNA
Rfam family: Bacterial small subunit ribosomal RNA
Source: RNAcentral